Molecule: ribosomal RNA, 397 nt
Filed under: uncultured bacterium
Lineage: Bacteria
Description: partial 16S ribosomal RNA
Rfam family: Bacterial small subunit ribosomal RNA
Source: RNAcentral
CUACGUAGGUGACAAGCGUUAUCCGGAUUUACUGGGCGUAAAGGGCGUGUAGGCGGUCUUGCAAGUCAGAAGUGAAAUUCCUGAGCUCAACUCGGGCGCUGCUUCUGAAACUGCAGGACUUGAGUGCUGGAGGGGAUAGCGGAAUUCCUAGUGGAGCGGUAAAAUGCGCAGAUAUUAGGAAGAACACCGGUGGCGAAGGCGGCUAUCUGGACAGUAACUGACGCUGAGGCGCGAAAGCGUGGGGAGCAAACAGGAUUAGAUACCCUGGUAGUCCGCGCCGUAAACGAUGAAUACUAGGUGUAGGGGGUAUCGACUCCCUCUGUGCCGCAGUUAACACAAUAAGUAUUCCGCCUGGGGAGUACGGCCGCAAGGUUGAAACUCAAAUGAAUUGACGGGG